GUGGUUGCCAGGCUGGGCAUGAGCUGAAGCCUGGAAGCUCCUGCUGUACUUGGAAAUCUGAACUUUUCCCAAGGUUUCAUGUUCACAGGACCUGAGCUGUGUGUGGUACUGGGAUUGAGAAGUGGCCCUGUUACUCUAAACACCUUGGUUACUGGAUUUUAUCUUGUGGGCUUCUCCUUCAAGUUGUCUUCCUUCUCCUAAGUUGUCUCCUUCAAGUAUGUCUUCCCUUCCUAUCUGGGCCUUGGUGAGCAUCUUUCAAGUGUCACACGAAUGCUACUUCUACCCUACCAUCAAGAUUUUUAAAAACACCAAAGAAUCUGUUAGGGUAAACUGAGGCACAACUGAGCUCACUGGAGCAGGCAAGAAAUGAAGUAACAAGCAAGAUUUUAUUUCCAGCCUGGGUGCAGGAUGUGUAACAGGAUUUCCCUGGGAAGUUUUUCUCUUCUGCCUGGGCAGAAUCAGUUGAGAGCUACCAGCAACAGACUUUUGACCUCCAAAUGUGUCUGCACUGUAGCCCACACAUACCCCACUGUCCUGAUACAGGUAGGAAACAGUGGCAGCAUGUGCCAUGGUUCCUCAGGAAAUACUUUUCCCGUGUAUGUGGAGAUACCUUUGUUUCCAAACCUGGAGAGAGCAUAAAUAUACUACACAGAGCACUUGUGCUGGGACUCCUG
Molecule: long non-coding RNA, 674 nt
Filed under: Heterocephalus glaber (naked mole-rat)
Lineage: Eukaryota; Metazoa; Chordata; Mammalia; Rodentia; Bathyergidae
Description: lncRNA (ENSHGLG00100044271.1)
Source: RNAcentral